GGACCUUACCUGGUCUUGACAUCCACGGAAUUUGGCAGAGAUGCCUUAGUGCCUUCGGGAACCGUGAGACAGGUGCUGCAUGGCUGUCGUCAGCUCGUGUUGUGAAAUGUUGGGUUAAGUCCCGCAACGAGCGCAACCCUUAUCCUUUGUUGCCAGCGGUCCGGCCGGGAACUCAAAGGAGACUGCCAGUGAUAAACUGGAGGAAGGUGGGGAUGACGUCAAGUCAUCAUGGCCCUUACGACCAGGGCUACACACGUGCUACAAUGGCAUAUACAAAGAGAAGCGACCUCGCGAGAGCAAGCGGACCUCAUAAAGUAUGUCGUAGUCCGGAUUGGAGUCUGCAACUCGACUCCAUGAAGUCGGAAUCGCUAGUAAUCGUGAUCAGAAUGCCCCC
RNAcentral lists this ribosomal RNA (394 nucleotides) under Enterobacter sp. UR44. Its description in RNAcentral is "bacterial SSU rRNA". It matches the Rfam family "Bacterial small subunit ribosomal RNA", at positions 966 to 1360 of the family's 1533-position model. The record is from RNAcentral. Lineage: Bacteria; Pseudomonadati; Pseudomonadota; Gammaproteobacteria; Enterobacterales; Enterobacteriaceae.